RNAcentral lists this ribosomal RNA (445 nucleotides) under uncultured bacterium. RNAcentral describes it as "bacterial SSU rRNA". It matches the Rfam family "Bacterial small subunit ribosomal RNA", at positions 356 to 793 of the family's 1533-position model. The record is from RNAcentral.
GGGGAAUUUUGGACAAUGGGCGCAAGCCUGAUCCAGCCAUGCCGCGUGAGUGAUGAAGGCCCUAGGGUUGUAAAGCUCUUUUGUCGCGGAAGAAAUCUUCUGAGUUAAUACCUCGGGAGAAUGACGGUACCGCAAGAAUAAGCCCCGGCUAACUUCGUGCCAGCAGCCGCGGUAAUACGAAGGGGGCUAGCGUUGCUCGGAAUCACUGGGCGUAAAGGGUGCGUAGGCGGGUCUUUAAGUCAGGGGUGAAAUCCUGGAGCUCAACUCCAGAACUGCCUUUGAUACUGAAGAUCUUGAGUUCGGGAGAGGUGAGUGGAACUGCGAGUGUAGAGGUGAAAUUCGUAGAUAUUCGCAAGAACACCAGUGGCGAAGGCGGCUCACUGGCCCGAUACUGACGCUGAGGCACGAAAGCGUGGGGAGCAAACAGGAUUAGAUACCCUGGUAG